Molecule: ribosomal RNA, 305 nt
Filed under: uncultured bacterium
Lineage: Bacteria
Description: bacterial SSU rRNA
Rfam family: Bacterial small subunit ribosomal RNA
Source: RNAcentral
UUGCCUACGGGGGGCAGCAGUGGGGAAUAUUGCACAAUGGGGGAAACCCUGAUGCAGCGACGCCGCGUGAGUGAAGAAGUAUCUCGGUAUGUAAAGCUCUAUCAGCAGGAAAGAUAAUGACGGUACCUGACUAAGAAGCCCCGGCUAACUACGUGCCAGCAGCCGCGGUAAUACGUAGGGGGCAAGCGUUAUCCGGAUUUACUGGGUGUAAAGGGAGCGUAGACGGCAGCGCAAGUCUGGAGUGAAAUGCCGGGGCCCAACCCCGGAACUGCUUUGGAAACUGUGCGGCUCGAGUGCGGGAGAGG